RNAcentral lists this ribosomal RNA (808 nucleotides) under uncultured Alteromonadaceae bacterium. RNAcentral's name for it is "bacterial SSU rRNA". It matches the Rfam family "Bacterial small subunit ribosomal RNA", at positions 377 to 1179 of the family's 1533-position model. Lineage: Bacteria; Pseudomonadati; Pseudomonadota; Gammaproteobacteria; Alteromonadales; Alteromonadaceae. The record is from RNAcentral.
GGGAACCUGAUGCAGCCAUGCCGCGUGUGUGAAGAAGGCCUUCGGGUUGUAAAGCACUUUCAGUUGUGAGGAAAAGUUAGUAGUUAAUACCUGCUAGCCGUGACGUUAACAACAGAAGAAGCACCGGCUAACUCCGUGCCAGCAGCCGCGGUAAUACGGAGGGUGCGAGCGUUAAUCGGAAUUACUGGGCGUAAAGCGCACGCAGGCGGUUUGUUAAGCUAGAUGUGAAAGCCCCGGGCUCAACCUGGGAUGGUCAUUUAGAACUGGCAGACUAGAGUCUUGGAGAGGGGAGUGGAAUUCCAGGUGUAGCGGUGAAAUGCGUAGAUAUCUGGAGGAACAUCAGUGGCGAAGGCGACUCCCUGGCCAAAGACUGACGCUCAUGUGCGAAAGUGUGGGUAGCGAACAGGAUUAGAUACCCUGGUAGUCCACACCGUAAACGCUGUCUACUAGCUGUUUGUGGCUUUAAGCCGUGAGUAGCGAAGCUAACGCGCUAAGUAGACCGCCUGGGGAGUACGGCCGCAAGGUUAAAACUCAAAUGAAUUGACGGGGGCCCGCACAAGCGGUGGAGCAUGUGGUUUAAUUCGAUGCAACGCGAAGAACCUUACCUACACUUGACAUGCAGAGAACUUUCCAGAGAUGGAUUGGUGCCUUCGGGAACUCUGACACAGGUGCUGCAUGGCUGUCGUCAGCUCGUGUCGUGAGAUGUUGGGUUAAGUCCCGCAACGAGCGCAACCCUUGUCCUUAGUUGCCAGCAUUCAGUUGGGCACUCUAAGGAGACUGCCGGUGACAAACCGGAGGAAGGUGGGGA